This 253-nucleotide ribosomal RNA is filed under the name uncultured bacterium. RNAcentral's name for it is "partial 16S ribosomal RNA". It matches the Rfam family "Bacterial small subunit ribosomal RNA", at positions 524 to 776 of the family's 1533-position model. The record is from RNAcentral.
UACGUAGGUGACAAGCGUUGUCCGGAUUUACUGGGCGUAAAGCGCGCGUAGGCGGCUUUGCAAGUCGAGUGUGAAAUCCCCAGGCUUAACCUGGGAACUGCAUUCGAGACUGCAUAGCUAGAGUAUGGGAGAGGGAAGUGGAAUUUCAGGUGUAGCGGUGAAAUGCGUAGAUAUCUGAAGGAACAUCAGUGGCGAAAGCGACUUCCUGGACCAAUACUGACGCUCAUGUGCGAAAGCGUGGGGAGCAAACAGG